This 253-nucleotide ribosomal RNA is filed under the name uncultured bacterium. RNAcentral's name for it is "partial 16S ribosomal RNA". It matches the Rfam family "Bacterial small subunit ribosomal RNA", at positions 524 to 776 of the family's 1533-position model. The record is from RNAcentral.
UACGAAGGGGGCUAGCGUUGUUCGGAAUCACUGGGCGUAAAGCGCACGCAGGCGGAUUGAUAAGUCAGGGGUGAAAUCCCGGAGCUCAACUUCGGAAUUGCCUUUGAUACUGUCAAUCUCGAGUCCGGGAGAGGUGAGUGGAAUUCCCGGUGUAGCAGUGAAAUGCGUAGAGAUCGGGAGGAACAUCAGUUGCGAAGGCGGCUCUCUGGACCAGCACUGACACUGAGGCACGAAAGCGUGGGGAGCAAACAGG